UACGAAGGGGGCUAGCGUUGCUCGGAAUUACUGGGCGUAAAGGGCGCGUAGGCGGCACUGUUAGUCAGGCGUGAAAGUCCUGGGCUCAACCUGGGAACUGCGCUUGAUACGGCAGAGCUAGAGGAUGGAAGAGGCUCGCGGAAUUCCCAGUGUAGAGGUGAAAUUCGUAGAUAUUGGGAAGAACACCGGUGGCGAAGGCGGCGAGCUGGUCCAUUACUGACGCUGAGACGCGAAAGCGUGGGGAGCAAACAGG
This 253-nucleotide ribosomal RNA is filed under the name uncultured bacterium. RNAcentral's name for it is "partial 16S ribosomal RNA". It matches the Rfam family "Bacterial small subunit ribosomal RNA", at positions 524 to 776 of the family's 1533-position model. The record is from RNAcentral.